RNAcentral lists this transfer RNA (73 nucleotides) under Rhipicephalus microplus (southern cattle tick). RNAcentral describes it as "tRNA-Ile". It matches the Rfam family "tRNA". From Rfam's summary of the family: Transfer RNA (tRNA) molecules are approximately 80 nucleotides in length. Their secondary structure includes four short double-helical elements and three loops (D, anti-codon, and T loops). The record is from Rfam by way of RNAcentral. Lineage: Eukaryota; Metazoa; Arthropoda; Arachnida; Ixodida; Ixodidae.
GCCUCGGUAGCGCAGUAGGCAGCGCGUCAGUCUGAUAAUCUGAAGGUCGUGAGUUCGAACUUCACCCGGGGCA